GAACAACGCUUGUAAGAAAACAACACAUCCGGAUUAUAGUUUAAUUUAUAAUUUUGAGGAAAACCCACUAGAACCAUGUGCAUACAACGAAUAAAUCGACCUAAUCAGACAUUCCACCAUGAGACUGAACUCCAGUCCGCUGAAGUGUAAUACUGGAAAUAAAUGCACACAGGAGUAUGGCCAGCUCAACCACAAACUGGAUUUGAGCUUAUGAGAUCAUAAAGCCCGAGGUCACAGGUCAUCCCACUGUUUAUUCUACCCACAACGGGGAACGAUGGCGCCAUCAUGAAAGAAAACUGCUUUAGGAACUUAAAGGAAUGAAUGAACCAGGAAUGAAGUCGUAUUGUUGCUCCAGGCUACAGUCUCCCUUCAUAGUCCUCAACCAGAUGAUCAAAAAGGCCGUGAUUUGUCUAUCCCAGGUCCCAGAGAUCUACAUUCUUAGAUUUAUUGUGUGCAGCAACUUCGCCUAGAGGAGUCAAGAGCAAUUAUUGAACAAAGAGAAGCAAACUACAGGUGUGAACACCCAGUCUCCAGUCUCUGCUGAAAAGAACAAAAAUAUGAGCAAUUGAUGCGCUUCAAAAUUCACUUAAAUAUUGAAAACCUGUGCGGAUAGUAUAUCUGAAAAAAAAAGGAAAGAGAAAAUCGCCUAAUUUGGUUUGCGAACACUGUGAUUCAAAUCUCACAGGACUAGAACGGGCAUGAAUGAGCAGUUGGUAAUUUCAGCCUUCAGGCUAAGCUCACCUCUGAACAUCUUUCUGCAGCUUGGAAAAAGCGUCGAAAGAUUUGUAUCAUUUAACCUUGUUGAAGUGAAAGGACACCAGCAGCAGGCUAAACGUGCGUAACAGGCAGCGAGUCG
This 856-nucleotide long non-coding RNA is filed under the name Danio rerio (zebrafish). Its description in RNAcentral is "si:ch73-77n15.1 (ENSDARG00000092800.4)". Lineage: Eukaryota; Metazoa; Chordata; Actinopteri; Cypriniformes; Danionidae. The record is from RNAcentral.